Molecule: ribosomal RNA, 315 nt
Filed under: uncultured eukaryote
Lineage: Eukaryota
Description: partial 18S ribosomal RNA
Rfam family: Eukaryotic small subunit ribosomal RNA
Source: RNAcentral
CCCUUAGACGUUCUGGGCCGCACGCGCGCUACACUGACCAGUGCAACAAGCAUCCGUCCUUGGCCGACAGGCCCGGGCAAUCUUUGAACGCUGGUCGUGAUGGGGAUAGACUUUUGCAAUUUUUGGUCUUCAACGAGGAAUUCCUAGUAAACGCAAGUCAUCAACUUGCAUUGAUUACGUCCCUGCCCUUUGUACACACCGCCCGUCGCACCUACCGAUUGAAUGGUCCGGUGAAGCCUCCGGAUUGGCGCGCACCUCGGUGCCGCCGAGAAGUUGGCUAAACCUUACCAUUUAGAGGAAGGUGAAGUAGUAACA